AGGGGAAACGGCAUUAUGUGCUUGCACAUUUUGGACGUCGACCGGCGCACGGGUGAGUAUCGCGUAUCCAACCUUCCCUCCACUCGGGGAUACCCCGUUGAAAGACGGCCUAAUACCCGAUGUUGUCCACAUAUGGCAUCUGACGUGGACCAAAGAUUCAUCGGUGGAGGAUGGGGAUGCGUCUGAUUAGCUUGUUGGUGCGGGUAACGGCCCACCAAGGCGACGAUCAGUAGGGGUUCUGAGAGGAAGGUCCCCCACAUUGGAACUGAGACAUGGUCCAAACUCCUACGGGAGGCAGCAGUGAGGAAUAUUGGUCAAUGGACGUAAGUCUGAACCAGCCAAGUAGCGUGCAGGAUUGACGGCCCUAUGGGUUGUAAACUGCUUUUGUUGGGGAGUAAAGUGAGGCACGUGUGCCUUUUUGCAUUUACCCUUCGAAUAAGGACCGGCUAAUUCCGUGCCAGCAGCCGCGGUAAUACGGAAGGUCCAGGCGUUAUCCGGAUUUAUUGGGUUUAAAGGGAGUGUAGGCGGUCUGUUAAGCGUGUUGUGAAAUUUAGGUGCUCAACAUCUACCUUGCAGCGCGAACUGGCGGACUUGAGUGCACGCAACGUAUGCGGAAUUCAUGGUGUAGCGGUGAAAUGCUUAGAUAUCAUGACGAACUCCGAUUGCGAAGGCAGCGUACGGGAGUGUUACUGAC
Molecule: ribosomal RNA, 694 nt
Filed under: uncultured Bacteroidales bacterium
Lineage: Bacteria; Pseudomonadati; Bacteroidota; Bacteroidia; Bacteroidales
Description: bacterial SSU rRNA
Rfam family: Bacterial small subunit ribosomal RNA
Source: RNAcentral